Molecule: long non-coding RNA, 890 nt
Organism: Labeo rohita (rohu)
Lineage: Eukaryota; Metazoa; Chordata; Actinopteri; Cypriniformes; Cyprinidae
Exons: 4
Source: RefSeq, a predicted model, not a curated record
GUAAAUGCCAGUCAAAAAUAUGUUUUGGUAUAUAACAGUAAGACCUGGACUGGAGCUCAGAGCUACUGCAAAGAGAAACACACAGACUUGGCCAGUGUGAGGAAUGAAACAGAACAUCAACAGAUACUGAAUGUUUCACUGGUUAUGAUGGUACUAUUCAUGGUUAUGAUGUAUGGAUCGGUCUGUACAGAAACAGACUGUGGUCAGAUCAGAGCAGCUCUUCCUUCACAUAUUGGCUGCCAUGGACCAAAGGUGAUUUUGCACAACCAGAUAAUGGUGCAAAUGUCUCAGGACAGUAUGGAGCUCAACACUGCACAGCUGUGUCUUUAAAAAGCUUUGGUCACUGGACAGAUGAGCGAUGCUUUGCCAGUUUGCCUUUCUUCUGUUACAGUGCACUUCAACCCAAGUUUUCAAAUGAGUAUGUGAUGGGAAUGCAAGUAAAAGUUACAAGUUUGGAAAGUCUGCCUCAUUCCCAGAUUGAAGAGCUGGUAAUCAUACAGUUACAAGAGCAGCUGGUCAGACUUGGACUUCCUAACAACGUCACCAUGCAUAUGAGAGGCUACCAUAAGAUCAACCCCUGAAGGAAGAGGACAACACUUUAUGUUUUCCAAUACUUACUUUCUUAAGCAAUACUAUAAUCACUUUUACAAAUUUAAAAUAAAUGAGUUACAUGAGUAUAUAGUGCAUACAGCUGUACAUAGCUUAUUCAAUACAUUUUACAUGUAAAGCAAAGCAGGUUAAACAAUUACAUGAUGCUAAGUAUACUAAUAAUUGCUGACAUGAGUAUGAUAUUUUCAAUAUAAAAUCAGAAAAAUAAAAUUAUUUUUUUUUUGCAAGUUAUGCAAUGUUAUGAAUGUUGUGUCAAUAAAGUUUAGAACUUUGAAAAAGAA